GCAUUCUUGGUUCAGUGGUAGAACGCCCACCUGUCAUGCGGGCAACCCGGGCUCGAUUCCCGGCCAGUGUA
RNAcentral lists this transfer RNA (71 nucleotides) under Angiostrongylus costaricensis. It matches the Rfam family "tRNA". From Rfam's summary of the family: Transfer RNA (tRNA) molecules are approximately 80 nucleotides in length. Their secondary structure includes four short double-helical elements and three loops (D, anti-codon, and T loops). Lineage: Eukaryota; Metazoa; Nematoda; Chromadorea; Rhabditida; Metastrongylidae. The record is from Rfam by way of RNAcentral.